Molecule: long non-coding RNA, 2030 nt
Filed under: Mus musculus (house mouse)
Lineage: Eukaryota; Metazoa; Chordata; Mammalia; Rodentia; Muridae
Description: RIKEN cDNA 1700042G15 gene (1700042G15Rik)
Source: RNAcentral
AGUGACAGUUUGACUCCUCAACAGUCAUACUGGUGGCAGGAGCACAGAGCAGUGCCUCUUGAUUGCUGGUUCAGGGGGAAUGACCCCAAGCAUUUGAGGAGAGGAGAGCCUGUGGUCAGCUGUUUCGUUUUGGGGUUCUUCCUGGCCCUUAGAAGACCGAGAUGUGCCCGACUGCACAGAAGACGAAGUUGAAGUCACUCUUCUAGAAACUGCCUGGUGCAGAUGCCAUGGUGACAGAUAUGAAAAGGAUGGGCCUUUGAACAUGGCUCAGCUCACCAGACAUGACAUCUGGAGCCGGAUCCUCCUGGCGUCACCUAGACUGGAUGCCCUGAAGACAGACUUUGUGCUCCCUGCAAGGUACCUAGAUUGGAUGCCCUGAAGACAGACUUUGUGCUCCUUGCAAGCUCAUUCCAGUCCCCAGAGCGCCUGGAACCCUUGCCACCGAGAUUCGAGUGAAGAAUGAGAUAAGUCCUAAGAAUGUGGUUGACUGGGCUUGCAUCCCCUCACGGACAUAUACUGGACACCCAGCAGGAGACUUUGCCUGCUGAGCCCUCCCCAGGGUGGAUCCCACAAUGACAGGACAUUGCUGAUGGGAACCAGAGUGUCCCCCAACCCCUCAUUUCCCAACCAACUUGCCAUCAGACAUGGGUCUCUAGUAGCUUCUGGCGUUUCAGAGACCAAGGAAGGUCAAGUUUGCUGAAGGUUCUAGAUUCCUCUGGUGUCUCUACACUCAGAGUUUACAUUGGAGAGCCCUCGUUCUCUCGUGAGCUCCCACACAGCCCGAGGCCCUGGUUAUGCUCUGCUGAAGCAGUCUGCCCACUGUGGCCUGCUAACUGGUCUUCCAUGGAGGGACCGAGGCUGCGUCACCUUGACCUUUAGAGCCAUACCCUCAGAUCUCUGUCUUUGGUCUCUUAAGGUAGAACAUGGCUCAGCUCACCAGACAUGACAUCUGGAGCCAGAUCCUCCUGUCCAGAUGUGGCCUCUAUCCUCCUUUUAAAUCUUAUGCUGUCUGUCCUUAUUCCUAAGGCUGGGGUGUACUCCAAUUGCCUUGGUCUCUGCCUCCCCACUUAACAGCUGGUUCAUUUGCCAUGCACACACAGCUUCCAGAUACCCUGUCCUUUCUUCUGACUGUGUGUAGGUGCUGCUCAGCCACUGCUUCUGUGACCCCCAAAACCCAAGGGGUGGGGAUCUGACUGAUUCUCCUUUUCUGGGCUGCUUUUGCCACAGCUGACCCAUGAUGAAGUGGGAGCCAAGUCCUCAUAGCCCUUCCUAUUGAGUAUGCAUUCCAAGGUCCAUGCUGUAGAGACCAGCCACCUGAGAGUCCAAGCCAGUAUCUCCUCUUUUCCUUACGUAGAAUCUGCACAAGAGGAGCCAGGUCCCUCCCUUUUUGUAGGUUUGUCCCCUCAAUGUCAGACAGGAUGUUUCUAGUGGGCACAUCCUUCCUUCAGUAAACCCCUCAAAGGGCCUUGCUCCCUGGGGUUGGAGGCUCUUUCAAUUGGGAAGUUGCUGCAAUCUUUCCCUUUCAGAUCUGCCACAAAAAAAAAAAAAAAAAAAAAAAAAGUGGGGACCAAGGACCUUCUUGCUGUUUUGUAACUGAAAAACAGGCUAAGCCCUUGUGGAAAGGACAGAAUGAAAAAAAUGUGGAAGAAAAGUAGAUGGUGAGAAAGAAUUGACAUGCAUUUCCUUUAACGUCACUCUAUCUUGGUCUGUAUCUAUUCUGCUACUGCUUUGUUUAAUAAAGAGUUCAUGGGAAUGGAUUAAAAACCAGACAUGAAAGGCAAUGCUCACGAGGAGACAAGAAAUUGGAAGUGUCUAAAAUGGACCUGUGUUCAAUUUCACAGACAGCCAAGAAGCCUGUUGCCCUGGGAGGCCAAUUCACACCUGUUACCACUGGCAAGAUUUGAAAAGGACCUGGUCACUUCCGGUAGUGGAUAACUACGUCCCCAAGAAAUUGAAGAGUUUAGGGACUUGCCCUUGCCUUGUGCAAUUAGACACAUUUUAUAUUUAUGAAUGAAUGUUGCAAAAAUAUG